Dipodomys ordii (Ord's kangaroo rat) is the source of this 65-nucleotide non-coding RNA. NCBI's taxonomy places the organism in Eukaryota, Metazoa, Chordata, Mammalia, Rodentia, Heteromyidae. The record is from Rfam.
GGUGGCUCAGUGGUAGAGUGCUUGCCUUGCAUGCAUGAGGCCCUGGGUUCAAUUCCUCAGGACCA